This 454-nucleotide ribosomal RNA is filed under the name uncultured bacterium. RNAcentral describes it as "partial 16S ribosomal RNA". It matches the Rfam family "Bacterial small subunit ribosomal RNA", at positions 28 to 507 of the family's 1533-position model. The record is from RNAcentral.
GAUGAACGCUGACAGAAUGCUUAACACAUGCAAGUCAACUUGAACUUCGGUUUGGGUGGCGGCCGGGUGAGUCACGCGUAAAGAACUUGCCUCACAGUUAGGGACAACAUUUGGAAACGAAUGCUAAUACCUGAUAUUAUGAUUUUAGGGCAUCCUAGAAUUAUGAAAGCUAUAUGCGCUGUGAGAGAGCUUUGCGUCCCAUUAGCUAGUUGGAGAGGUAACGGCUCACCAAGGCGAUGAUGGGUAGCCGGCCUGAGAGGGUGAACGGCCACAAGGGGACUGAGACACGGCCCUUACUCCUACGGGAGGCAGCAGUGGGGAAUAUUGGACAAUGGACCAAGAGUCUGAUCCAGCAAUUCUGUGUGCACGAUGAAGUUUUUCGGAAUGUAAAGUGCUUUCAGUUGGGAAGAAAAAAAUGACGAUACCAACAGAAGGAGUGACGGCUAAAUACGUG